Non-coding RNA from Chaetomidium leptoderma, 72 nucleotides. The record is from the annotation of a GenBank genome assembly. Lineage: Eukaryota; Fungi; Ascomycota; Sordariomycetes; Sordariales; Chaetomiaceae.
GAUCUGGUGGCACAGUGGUAGCGCGCCCACCCUUCUGGUGGGAGGUCAUGGGUUCGACUCCCAUCCAGGUCC